Long non-coding RNA from Paramormyrops kingsleyae, 818 nucleotides. RefSeq lists it as uncharacterized. NCBI's taxonomy places the organism in Eukaryota, Metazoa, Chordata, Actinopteri, Osteoglossiformes, Mormyridae. The record is from RefSeq and is a predicted model, not a curated record.
CGCCAGUCACAUCCAGGCAGCGUUCCGCUUCCUACUCAUGUCUGGAAAUUCCCGAGUUAAUGCGCUGUUCAGUAGGUUGCAUUAAAACAAACAGCUUGAGAUAUGAUGUUUGGUUUAUGCAGAACGGAUGACUAAUGUAGACCACGCAUUAGAAAACAGUCACUUCCUUUCAACUGCUGGGAAAUUCCAGUAAAGGACGAGGUGAUUAUUAAUCCUGCUGAGUCGGACCGCGGAGGAUCGGAGAGCAGGCAGACGGCUCCUUUCACUGCGUCUGCGAGCAGGCGGGCGGCUCCUCCGAUUGCUUCUGAGAGCAGGCGGACAGCUCUUCUCACCGAGCAGGCAGACGGCUCUUCUGGCAGCUUUAAAGGUUUCUUCGCUCUUUGUGUCCGCGGAUGACGGCGUCCUCACAAGACAUGGCUCCAUUACUGAAGCUGUAUGCUAUUGGCACAAUGCUGUCGCUGGCGGCAGCGAUCAUCGGCUUGGUUGACUCCGUGGGAGGCCUAAUGUAUGUUCAAGGACUAGAUAUGGACAACAACUGGACCGAGAGGAAUCCCCCAAAGACUUGUUUAAGGCGCAAGGGUUUCGGAUCGUGACGGGGACCUGGGUGUCUAUGCGUCCGGACGCCUGCAAAUGUUUUCGCUCAUCAAUCACUGGACAGAUUCUUUAAUAUGCUCAUGUGACGAACUUCGUUGUUUUAAUGGUGUACAGUAUAGCAGUCUUGAGAAUAUUCAUGAUCGGCUGGGAUCACUUUUGAUGAUUUCUCACUUCUCUGUUUCACUUUGUGCGCGAUUUAAUAAAGAAUAAAAGUUAUAGCCGUG